Polypterus senegalus (gray bichir) is the source of this 1161-nucleotide long non-coding RNA. RefSeq lists it as uncharacterized. NCBI's taxonomy places the organism in Eukaryota, Metazoa, Chordata, Cladistia, Polypteriformes, Polypteridae. The transcript has 3 exons. The record is from RefSeq and is a predicted model, not a curated record.
GGAGGAAACUGCUGGUAUUAGACACAGGAAUUAAACGUAGGAAUGACAAAUUUGUUAAAAUACUUAUUAAGUAGUUGAGAAGCAUACCGACAUAGCAAACCGUUUUAACGCUCACUUCCAGUAAUGAAGAAAUAGCAAAAGAGUCUUAAAAUGUCUAAUAAAAAACCUACACACCACAAUCUCAGGAGAGGCACUUGAAUCUUUGGAGAAUGUUGAUUUUAAUUUUAAAUGGUGAUUCGGAAAGCCAAAGGUUUCUGCCAUUACCAUAAGAUCCAAAUACUCUGCACUGCCUGUAAUAAUGGAAGCAAGUUAGGUACUACAAUUCUAGACGAGACCAACUGAAUCUAACCCUUCUAACACGUGUAUGAAACCGAUAAUAAGCUACUUUAACGCAUUGAUGUUUAGUGGAAUGCCCAGUGGAGUCCGAGUGGUCUUUUGGCCUUGGAACCUCUGGAGGUUUAUUUUCUCCAAUAUUUCUCAAGGUUGAGAUUUUAUUUUCCUGUCCUCAUUGGCUAUCUGACCAUAGUGCCAGACUUAUCGUUUUAAUAAUUUGGUACAUAAAAAAUGAGUUUAGCAAUUACAUUCUGGUCCUCUUCUUGUUGUCUUGCUCUGGCACUCAGUACUACAGCUCUACUUCCAAGCUGUUUUCCAGUCAUUGGACUAAAUGAUUCUGUCAUCGUAUGUAUAUAUAAAGGGGUGGCUGCAGUGGCUCAUGUCUUUGCCCCUUUCCCUUAUUGACUCAAGUGCCCUUUUCACCCAUUAGGACCAAUUGCCCAUUGAACAUUUCUUGUUUUUCAUUGUGAGCAAACUCCUUUUCAUUGUAAUAAACUGGGAAAAAGCACCCAUAAGCAACUUGUCAUGUAAAUCUAGGUAGACUACAGUUUACUAUCCCAUUUGGAAAUAAAGUAUGGUGUAUAGCAGUACUUCCCAAACUUGGUCAUGGGGACCCACUGUGGCUGCAGGUUUUUGUUCCAACCAGAUUCACAAUCAGUGAUAAUAAUCGGUAACAAAUAAUCUCAUUUAAUUAGCUGGUCUUUUUUCUCUUCUCCUAUUUCAAAUUCAGUGAAGCACAACAUUUAUACAGCUAGAAAUGCUUAACUCUUUUAUUGUUUUCCUAUUAUUUUCCUAUUUUUCCCCUUUUUCUGUGUAGUUUGCUCCCUU